Molecule: ribosomal RNA, 253 nt
Filed under: uncultured bacterium
Lineage: Bacteria
Description: partial 16S ribosomal RNA
Rfam family: Bacterial small subunit ribosomal RNA
Source: RNAcentral
UACAGAGGGGGCAAGCGUUGUUCGGAAUUACUGGGCGUAAAGGGCGCGUAGGCGGCCUUCUAAGUCGAACGUGAAAUCCCCGGGCUCAACCCGGGAACUGCAUCUGAUACUGGAUGGCUGGAGAUUGGGAGAGGGAUGCGGAAUUCCAGGUGUAGCGGUGAAAUGCGUAGAUAUCUGGAGGAACACCGGUGGCGAAGGCGGCAUCCUGGACCAACACUGACGCUGAGGAGCGAAAGCCAGGGGAGCAAGCGGG